RNAcentral lists this ribosomal RNA (536 nucleotides) under uncultured bacterium. RNAcentral describes it as "partial 16S ribosomal RNA". It matches the Rfam family "Bacterial small subunit ribosomal RNA", at positions 355 to 880 of the family's 1533-position model. The record is from RNAcentral.
UGGGGAAUAUUGGACAAUGGGGGCAACCCUGAUCCAGCCAUGCCGCGUGUGUGAAGAAGGCCUUUUGGUUGUAAAGCACUUUAAAGCAGGGAGGAGAGGCUAAUGGUUAAUACCCAUUAGAUUAGACGUUACCUGCAGAAUAAGCACCGGCUAACUCUGUGCCAGCAGCCGCGGUAAUACAGAGGGUGCGAGCGUUAAUCGGAAUUACUGGGCGUAAAGCGAGUGUAGGUGGCUCAUUAAGUCACAUGUGAAAUCCCCGGGCUUAACCUGGGAACUGCAUGUGAUACUGGUGGUGCUAGAAUAUGNGAGAGGGAAGUAGAAUUCCCAGGUGUAGCGGUGAAAUGCGUAGAGAUCUGGAGGAAUACCGAUGGCGAAGGCAGCUUCCUGGCAUAAUAUUGACACUGAGAUUCGAAAGCGUGGGUAGCAAACAGGAUUAGAUACCCUGGUAGUCCACGCCGUAAACGAUGUCUACUAGCCGUUGGGGUCCUUGAGACUUUAGUGGCGCAGUUAACGCGAUAAGUAGACCGCCUGGGGAG